This is a long non-coding RNA of Meriones unguiculatus (Mongolian gerbil), 4083 nucleotides long. RefSeq lists it as uncharacterized. The record is from RefSeq and is a predicted model, not a curated record. Lineage: Eukaryota; Metazoa; Chordata; Mammalia; Rodentia; Muridae. The transcript is spliced from 3 exons.
AAGUUUUGUUUUGUUUUAAUCACAGAUCAAGUGUACAAGCUGUUCAAGGUUCACUGAGAGCCUUACUGCAGCCACUUGCUGCCCCCACAGGACCUGGCAGGCAAGUGCCAGAGCACUGAGGAGUACAAUUAGUUCAUAUCACACGACAAGGACCAAUUCAGAGAAGGAACAAAGAUGGCUCACAAAUACACUGCCAGACCACACUGGCGUGGAGGGCUAGGAGUUUUUACACACUGUAACGGCGAGACAAGAUUACAGAAAGCCAAACGUUUGCUUUAGAGCAGAGGAAGGAAGGACAAAUUUCAUCUCACAAAAUGGUAAAGAGUACUGUACAGAAAACUGCUGGAAGUACACUUUUCCUGGGGAAAUCAAAUGAACAGGGAGCUUUGUUUUCUUUUUCUGACACCAUAAAAUAUGACAGUCACAGUUUAAAAAGAUCACGUAACACAAUCAAACCUUCUACCACUGUAAACAAAUAUAACACAGAAGCAUUCUGGGCAGGGAGUGAGCGCAGCAGAACCUAGCACACACAAGGCCCCUCGGAGCUUUGGGCUGACUGUAGGUAGAUCUGUGAACCUGGAUACACCCGCACUCCCCCCCCCCCAAGUGUAAACGCUUCUAGAGCAUCUGUGCAAGAAUCCUGCUGCCGUCUCCCCAGCCUUUGCGUAUUAGAGCCAGACAGCUUCCAGAGGUCAGUCUCAAGUGUGCUCAGAGCCCCGCCCGCUCGGUGUCAGGAGCGAUGGUGGCAGGAGGGGCAGGUGAGAGAGGGCUGGAGGGCAGUGUUCUCAGCCCUUCUGUGCUGCGGCCCUUAACGCACUUCCUCAUGCUGUUUUGGUUGCUACUUCAAAACCGUAACUUUGCUACUGUUAUGAAUCGUAAUGUAGAUAUUUUCGGAGCCAGAGGUUUGCAAACGGGCAGCGACCCACAGGUUGAGAACCAGUGCUGCAGGGCACUGUCACCUGUGUCAGCUGAGGGGCUAAGGUCAACGCCAGCCAGGGAGAGCCUGCAUCGGGAAUCUAUGCUGAGCUUUGACUGGAAGAUGUUGCAAUGAUGCCACAGGGGCGGACAGCAAAGGUCAGUUGUUAGCCAGCCAGGGAGAAAGCUUCCAAGCCGAGGACGCCCUUCCGAGCCGCUCUCACUCCUGCUGCCCAGGACAAUGGUCACAUGCUUGUACUCAUUCAUCCCGCAAGGCAGCCAGACAGGUCUGCUGCGACAGCGCCCGGCCCAGGCUUGUCACUGAGCAGUCAGAAGUGGCCGCAGUGAGGGCAGCAGUCCCGGGCUGAAGACUCCAGAGCUUCGCCUGGCCUCAGCAGGCUUCUCUCUGAGGCAGCAGCCUUGCCCUACCUUGCCGGGAGAGAACCUCACAGCCACAGUGACGCCUACCGACUUGGCAAAGGUUAGGUCCAGAGCUCGUGGGGGGGAGUCAUCUUGGACGUGAAACGGUGGCGGGUAAGAGGCAUGGUUUGGUGGAGGGCGCUUUCGGGGAGAGCACCCUUCUGGGCGCAGUCUCAUGACAGAGUCAGCUCACGAGCGCUGCUCUCUCGGAAGAGGAAGGCAGAGACUCCAUGACGGUGUGUACUUAAGAUUAAAUACUAUCGGGAGCGCCUCAUACUCCACAAAAGCUGCUGCCCUCGGGGCAAGGAGAAAGCCUGCUGCGCUCCACUCUGGAAACAGCUUCUUUAGGUGGCGGGCAAUGACUGGUGGGCAAUGGCCGGUGGGCAGACCAUCAUUUGCCCACAUCCACCUUAGCCCUACCCUUCUUACUUUCCACUGAGCAAUUAAAAGUGGAAAUAAACCCCUGAAUUUAGCAGGGUGGUGGCGGCAUACGCCUUUAAUCCUAGCACUUGGGAGGUGGAGGCAAAGGCAGCCAUAGCUCUGUGAGUUCGAGGCCAGCCUGGCCUACAGAGUGAGCUCCAGCUAGGGAGAAACCCUGUCUUGAAAAACGAGACAAAACCAAAGAAGCAAACAAAAACUCUGACCACACAGAAAGUAGCUGUCUCUAAUUAAUAAUAAAGGAUUAAUCACUAGUUGGAUUUUUCGUAAUUAAAGUAACUUGAAGGGGAAUCUAAAAGCACUUUAUAUUCCUUUCCACAUCCAGUGUCUCUUGAUAACAUUUGUAUGCCCGGAGCUACUAUAUCCUAAGUCACCUAUGAAAAACCUAACUGCAAUUCCUCAUAUUAAGAACAUAGUGUGAUUAAUACAUACAGAAUUUGCUCUCAAAAUCAUAAAAACAAGCUAUUAGCCAUUAGGCAGCUACUUAGGAACUUAGUGUUGAAAACAGCUCACGGGAAUUUUUUCAAAGUGCUCCAGCGUGAGACCCGCCCCCUGCCAAAACUAACCAUCUUGUGAGCACACAGGGAAAGCCGGGAGUGACAGUGCACACCGCAGUCUCAGCACUCAGGAGGUGGAGACAGAAGGACUGCUGUAAGUCUGAGCGCAGCCUGGGCUACACAGACGGGUACCCCUCCUGUGCCAUCCCAGGCCCCGGCGCCCUGCUCCCUUCACAUGGGACUCACCAAGUAGAACACGAAGCCCAGAUAAGCCACGCUCACCACUGCGGCCACCACGUACAGUGCCACGUGGCCGAGCUCCUGGACAUAAACCACGACAAAGUACAUGUUGAUGGAGCAGACGAUAAGGACCAGGAUGCCACCUGCGAUCCUCCAGCCUCUGCAAGAGGAAGGACUCAUGUGACGAAAUUCUCCACAUCAGGCCAGAUUGUGGGCACAUCUGUAGGGGCUGAUGUGGGAAGAACCGCCCAAGAUGGGAGGCACCAUCGCCUAGACUGCGCACCCUGACCCCUACAGGAAAGCCGCCGUCGGGCCUGAAGCAAACUUGCAGCAAGGAUGUGCGCAGCAAGGAUGUGCUCAUCACGGCUGCUCGCGGCUGUGACGGGAUCAGCUGCUUGCAUCUGCCUGACUUCUCCCCAGCUUCCCACCCUGGGCUGCUUGUUGGCAGGGUGUCUGUCAUGGCAGCAGAAACAAACAGCACACCCCACAGACCCUGUCAAGAUGUGCACAAGAUGCCACUAGCUGGUGCCUCUCCUGGACAUCUGAACACACAUUUUAAACUGCAGCGGCUGAUACUGCGGGGCUUUAGGUCUGAAGGAGUGUUUUCUCCUCCCUUCCCAUAACUCAACCUUUUCUUUCUAAGCCAAAGAGAAAGCAGACAGCAAUUGCUUCUAGAAAGAUGCGAAAUGUGGACACAUUUCCGAAUGCCUGCCCAGUAAAAACCCCCCUCCCAUGCCGCUCUGGAGAACGCUGACAAAGUACUCACAUUCCGUUGGAAAACUCACUCAUAACUGGCCGCAGGCUUGUGAACGUCAGGAUAGGUAUGAGGGCAAAGGGGAGCUGGAAAAGAGUCGAUUGGAUUAUGUGGGUGUAUCAGGUGGGAUUAUGUGGGUGCAUUAGUUCUAUCUUUUAAGCUGUGAUAAGACCCUAUGAUGAAACCUGGAGAGGAGAAGGGUAUUGGAGAGGGAUUAUCUGACUUACACCUCCAGGUCACAGGGUAUCACUGAGAAGUCAGGGCAGGACCUGGACAGAAACUGGAGGAAUGCUGCUUAUUGGCACUGGCCUGGCUCGAGUUCUCCCUCUCCCCCUCCACAUCAAUCGUGGAAACUAUUCUUCGGUUGAGGUUCUUGCUUCCCAGAGAGCACUGGCUACUGUACUGCCACAGCCAGCAGCGUGGUCCAUGAAAGCAAAUCAGAAGCCCUAUGUCACCUAUACAAUGGGUAACAGUUCUUCCCAUCACCUUGCCUUGGCCAAACAUUACCUUUAAUCCAGCACUAAUCACAAGUUUAAGUGCCUUUUUUUUUUUUUAAAACACAAAACCACAACACCCUGGAGGCUAGGGACGGCUCAGUGGUUAGGAACACUUUGCUUGGCUGUUCCUGCAGAGGAACCAGGUCCAGUUCCCAGCGCCCACACAGCAGCUCACAACUGUCUGUAAUGCCAGUUCCAGGGGAUCUGAUGCCCUCUUCUCAACUCUUCAGGUUCCAGGCAUACACAUAGUGCUCAUAUAUACAUGAAGGUAAAACACUAAUACACAUAAAUGAAAAUAAAUAACAUUUUGGAUGUGACUUAA